CCUACGGGAGGCUGCAGUGAGGAAUAUUGGUCAAUGGGCGGAAGCCUGAACCAGCCAAGUCGCGUGAGGGAUUAAGGCCCUGCGGGUCGUAAACCUCUUUUGCCGGGGAGCAGAGGUCCGGACGUGUCCGGGCCGGGAGAGUACCCGGAGAAAAAGCAUCGGCUAACUCCGUGCCAGCAGCCGCGGUAAUACGGAGGAUGCGAGCGUUAUCCGGAUUUAUUGGGUGUAAAGGGCGAGUAGGCGGGAUUGCAAGUCAGAUGUGAAAACUAUGGGCUCAACCGAUAGAGUGCAUUUGAAACUGCAGUUCUUGAGUGAUGGAGAGGCAGGCGGAAUUCCCGGUGUAGCGGUGGAAUGCGUAGAUAUCGGGAGGAACACCAGUGGCGAAGGCGGCCUGCUGGACAUUAACUGACGCUGAGGCGCGAAAGCGUGGGGAGCAAACAGGAUUAGAUACCCCUGUAGUC
This 461-nucleotide ribosomal RNA is filed under the name uncultured bacterium. RNAcentral's name for it is "partial 16S ribosomal RNA". It matches the Rfam family "Bacterial small subunit ribosomal RNA", at positions 338 to 795 of the family's 1533-position model. The record is from RNAcentral.